Molecule: small RNA, 560 nt
Filed under: Pongo abelii (Sumatran orangutan)
Lineage: Eukaryota; Metazoa; Chordata; Mammalia; Primates; Hominidae
Description: retained intron
Source: RNAcentral
AUCUACAUGGGACAUGGCAUGAAUGCUAAAGAGGCCACAAUGACUUUCUCUCACCCUGCUGUUUCUCUGGGCCCAUGUUUCCUGACCCAGGGAGACACCAUUACACCAGCUAUACUCAGCGGCCUUCAGCAAGGAGAAACUGCAGAGUGCCCCUACCAAGAAGCCAGCCCUUCCCUUUGGAGAUCUGCCCAUGGGAUACCAACAUCUGCAUACCCAGCUCCAGUAUGAGUGCAUCUCACCCUUCUACCGCCGCCUGGGCAGCAGCCGGAGGACAUGUCUGAGGACUGGGAAGUGGAGUGGGCAGGCACCAUCCUGCAUCCCUAUCUGCGGGAAAAUUGAGAACGUCACUGCUCCGAAGACCCAAGGGUUGCGCUGGCCGUGGCAGGCGGCCAUCUAUAGGAGGACCAGCGGAGUGCAUGAUGGCAGCCUACACAAGGGAGCGUGGUUCCUAGUCUGCAGCGGUGCCCUGGUGAAUGAGCGCACUGUGGUGGUGGCUGCCCACUGUGUUACUGACCUGGGGAAGGUCACCAUGAUCAAGACAGCAGAUCUGAAAGUUGUUU